This 107-nucleotide small nuclear RNA is filed under the name Neotoma lepida (desert woodrat). The record is from RNAcentral. Lineage: Eukaryota; Metazoa; Chordata; Mammalia; Rodentia; Cricetidae.
AUGCUCACUUCAGUAGCACANACACUAAAAUUGGAAUGAUACAGAGAAGGUUAGCAUGGCCCCUGUUCCAGAAUGACACACAAAUUCAUGAAGCAUUCCAUUAAAAA